Molecule: transfer RNA, 72 nt
Filed under: Diaphorina citri (Asian citrus psyllid)
Lineage: Eukaryota; Metazoa; Arthropoda; Insecta; Hemiptera; Psyllidae
Rfam family: tRNA
About the family: Transfer RNA (tRNA) molecules are approximately 80 nucleotides in length. Their secondary structure includes four short double-helical elements and three loops (D, anti-codon, and T loops).
Source: Rfam by way of RNAcentral
GCUCCCAUGGCGUAGUGGUCACUGCACUCGCCUUGCACGCGGGAGACCCGGGUUCGAUUCCCGGGGGGGUCA